RNAcentral lists this long non-coding RNA (557 nucleotides) under Nicotiana benthamiana. RNAcentral's name for it is "long non-coding RNA (NBEN_LNC007123)". Lineage: Eukaryota; Viridiplantae; Streptophyta; Magnoliopsida; Solanales; Solanaceae. The record is from RNAcentral.
CAGGUAUCGCCCCAAAGACAGGGGGAAUUCUCGGGCACUGGUGAUAAAUAAUCGAUUUCUCUUAGUCAAUAAUCGAUUUCUCUUAGUCAAUAAUCGAUUAUUACUCCUUUAUGUUUUCCUAUUAUUCUACUGAAAAAUAAACUAAUCGAUUAUACUAAUACUAGAAUCGAUUAUCUAACAUUUUGAUUUUGCAGGAAUCUGGCAAUCAUAUUUACUAAUCGAUUAUUGAAAGUUCAGUUUCACAAGUGUUAAUAAAAUAAUCGAUUGUUGAAAACCGAAUAAUCGAUUUCCUCUCACCGUCUCGAUUUUUCAUCACUCUGCCUAAAAAUAAUCGAUUAUCUGCAAAUCAAAAUCGAUUAUUCCCCGAGUCCGUAUAACACACUGUGCAGCAAUAAUAGAUUACCAAAGUUCAGUAAUCGAUUACCAACGGUCCGCUCAUCAAAAUUGUUACCGUUUUUGACCGUUUGGCUUAAUAAAUCUGCAGUUUUUUAUACAAUAAAUGCCUCACUUCUUCAAUUCUAUAAAUAGGUGUUUUCAUCCUUCAAAUUUCUCACNNN